GGGAAAUUUUGGCAACCUGUCAAAUAACUGAGAAAGAGCUGCCUACAGAGCUGGUGCCUCUCCCUUGGCAGAUCUGCAGCAGCCUUGCUCACAGCUGGGAGGUAAGUAGCAAAGUCACCAGAGGGAAAGUCUCCUCUGGGGAAGAAGAGCAUCUUUUCCACUAAGGAGCUUGCCCGCGUUCCUUUAUUGGAGUCUCCCUGGAAGAACUACCAUGCUAUUUUGGAGUGGCUGCUAGGACUGUACAUUCCUAGUGAUGCUAUCUGCAGGAGGACGGCACUGAAACAAGAAGCUGGUGGUGUCCAGAGACAAAUCUAAUUUAAGGGACUUAUGUUCUGGGGUAUGCCGAGAUACAAG
Long non-coding RNA from Gallus gallus (chicken), 354 nucleotides. The record is from Ensembl. NCBI's taxonomy places the organism in Eukaryota, Metazoa, Chordata, Aves, Galliformes, Phasianidae.